This 885-nucleotide long non-coding RNA is filed under the name Sitophilus oryzae (rice weevil). RNAcentral describes it as "uncharacterized LOC115878310". Lineage: Eukaryota; Metazoa; Arthropoda; Insecta; Coleoptera; Curculionidae. The record is from RNAcentral.
AUGAUAUGGAGAAUGUCAUCGAGAUGUUCAUUUCCAAGCCCACUGGACGCCGUGUUUUUUCGAUCAUACAGUAUUAUUAUACACAUAAAUAAUAAUAUUAUACACAUAAACAUCCCUUGAUAAAGAUCAACAUUUUGUAGAGCAAUAACAGCAUCAAAUAAUGGAAAUAAUGGACCCUACUGCUCAAAUCAAAAACAAAAUUUCAGCAUUACCACUUUAUUGGUUAUAUCAAUAAAAGAAAUUAUUGAGUUUAUGAGUCUAGAUCCUACAAGCAAGCAGAUCUAUCACAUAAUUUUAAAUGAAGAUUUAUCUAUUAUAGUAAUUUAUUCUGAUGAGGUUUAUGAAUAUUAAAGUCUGUUGAAGUUUGGCCAUUAUGUGUUGAUAUUUGGUAUACAAUUUAUUUAUGAUGUUACAGUAGUUAAACCAUCCGAGUACGAAACAUGUUUAAAAUCCACUAUUCUUAACGAAUGGCAACUACCAACUUGAGAGGAAGCUAAGAGGAAGGUUCUAUUGGGUGGACUACAAGGAAAAGGGACAUAUACAUGAGGAUCUGGAAGGGAACUAACAUUACGUCUCAAGCCAUGGGACAAUAGGAAACGAAAUUCAAAGGAAAAUAUUACAAUACGUUGGAUGCAAAUUAUAGUGCAAAGAAUUGAGAAAAAGAAUUAUUAAAAGUAGUUAUUGUUACGAUAGUUAAACCAUCCGACUACCAAAUAUAUUUAAAAUCCACUAUUCUGAAUGAAUAGCAACUACCAACUUGAGAGGAAGCUGCGAGAACGAUUCUAUUGGGUGAACUACAAGGAAGACAUGAGCAUCUGGAAGGGCUAUAAAAUUAUAUUAUUUCACGUUUCAAGCCAUGUUGGAAUAGCUGGGAGUGAAAAAGAA